AACUUAAGCAUAUCAAUAAGCGGAGGAA
Molecule: ribosomal RNA, 28 nt
Filed under: Fusarium chlamydosporum
Lineage: Eukaryota; Fungi; Ascomycota; Sordariomycetes; Hypocreales; Nectriaceae
Also listed under: 2 other names
Description: partial 28S ribosomal RNA
Source: RNAcentral